AUGAAGACUUUGUGUGUUGCUGUUGUUGUGCUGAGUCUCACCUCAGUGUGUCAGUCUGCACCGUUGACCUGUGAGCAGCUGAAUAAGCCACUCGACAAAAGUCCAGACUUGUCUGGAAGAUGGUAUAUGAUAGCGCUGAGCUCAGACGUCUGUCUGAUUCCAAGCCUCCUGAAUGCCUUGUUUUGGCCCAGUCUUGUUAUUGACUUUAAAGAACAGGACACACCAAACCUCUACAAUGCCAACGUUACGUUCAACAUGCAUGACUUUUGUGACUCAAAAGUUGAAACCUUCUUCCUUAAAAGCAGCAGCCUUUUUGAUGUGGACAGCAACAAUUCUCCAACUGGUGAGCCUGAUACGCUGCUGCACACUGGCUGUCCUGACUGCCUCGUUAUCAAGGGGAAUGAUGGCAUCAACUUGCUCAUGUACUUCAGUAGGAGAAAAACUGUCACUGAUGCUGAGCUGAAGGAGUUUGAGACACAGUCAGAAUGUAUGGGCUGGUCCAAACCAGAGGUUCUAAACACAGUCCAUGAAUACAAAGACUGCAAGUCCUUUGAUGACGACAAUGAGCAUGAUGUUUCAACUUUAUUGGCCAAGAUGGGUCAACGAAUGAAAAGCUCAUUUAUGUCUCCUCUUCGAUGUAUUGGACAGUAUAUUUUUAACAUCCCUUCCAUUGGGUGGACAUAGAAAGAGUUGAACAGCCUUCUGUGAAUGAACAAAUAAAAACUACACUAAAUGUGAAACA
Molecule: long non-coding RNA, 742 nt
Filed under: Betta splendens (Siamese fighting fish)
Lineage: Eukaryota; Metazoa; Chordata; Actinopteri; Anabantiformes; Osphronemidae
Description: lncRNA (ENSBSLG00000010684.1)
Source: RNAcentral